Molecule: ribosomal RNA, 407 nt
Filed under: uncultured bacterium
Lineage: Bacteria
Description: partial 16S ribosomal RNA
Rfam family: Bacterial small subunit ribosomal RNA
Source: RNAcentral
AAUAUUUCGCAAUGGAGGGAACUCUGACGCAGCGACGCCGCGUGAGCGAUGAAGGUCUUCGGAUCGUAAAGCUCUGUCCUUUGGGAAGAAGGUCUUCUGACUUGACGGUACCUAACCAGAAAGCCACGGCUAACUACGUGCCAGCAGCCGCGGUAAUACGCAGGUGGCAAGCGUUAUCCGGAAUUAUUGGGCGUAAAGCGCGCGCAGGCGGUUUCUUAAGUCUGAUGUGAAAGCCCACGGCUCAACCGUGGAGGGUCAUUGGAAACUGGGAAGCUUGAGUGCAGAAGAGGAGAGUGGAAUUCCAUGUGUAGCGGUGAAAUGCGUAGAGAUAUGGAGGAACACCAGUGGCGAAGGCGACUCUCUGGUCUGCAACUGACGCUGAGGCGCGAAAGCGUGGGGAGCGAACA